This 207-nucleotide unclassified non-coding RNA is filed under the name uncultured fungus. RNAcentral's name for it is "sequence contains ITS1". Lineage: Eukaryota; Fungi. The record is from RNAcentral.
UUAACUUAUUAAUUUUUACUCAGAGAUGCCACUAUAAUACAGGAGAGUUUCGUACCUCCGGCGGGCGCCCAACACCUCCGGAGAGGCGGGGCUGCGGCGCCCUGUGAGGGGCUCCGCGCCGCCGAAGCAACUUGGAUAGGUUCGCAAUGGUUUUAAGUAGCCUUUCGGCUUCUUGUAAUGAUCCCUCCGCUGGUUCACCAACGGAGA